This 422-nucleotide ribosomal RNA is filed under the name Chloroflexota bacterium. RNAcentral describes it as "bacterial SSU rRNA". It matches the Rfam family "Bacterial small subunit ribosomal RNA", at positions 1 to 420 of the family's 1533-position model. Lineage: Bacteria; Bacillati; Chloroflexota. The record is from RNAcentral.
AUGGCGAGUUUGAUCCUGGCUCAGGAUAAACGCUGGCGGCGUGCCUAACACAUGCAAGUCGAACGCGCUCCCCUCCUUCGGGGGGGGAGCGAGUGGCGGACGGGUGAGUAAGACGUGGGUCACCUACCUUUCAGUGAGGGAUACCGGCGAGAAAUCGCCGACAAUCCCGCAUACGCUUGGCGCUCUGCAACGAGUGCCAAGCAAAGCUCUGCAAAGGGCGCUGGGAGAUGGGCCCGCGGCCGAUUAGCUGGUUGGUGGGGUAAAAGCUCACCAAGGCGACGAUCGGUAGCUGGUCUGAGAGGACGAUCAGCCACACUGGGAUUGAGAACGGCCCAGACUCCUACGGGGGGCAGCAGUGAGGAAUUUUCGGCAAUGGACGCAAGUCUGACCGAGCAACGCCGCGUGCAGGAGGAAGGUCUUCG